Molecule: transfer RNA, 68 nt
Filed under: Marmota monax (woodchuck)
Lineage: Eukaryota; Metazoa; Chordata; Mammalia; Rodentia; Sciuridae
Description: tRNA.Ala
Rfam family: tRNA
About the family: Transfer RNA (tRNA) molecules are approximately 80 nucleotides in length. Their secondary structure includes four short double-helical elements and three loops (D, anti-codon, and T loops).
Source: RNAcentral
GGAUAUAGCUCAGUUGGUAGAGUGCUCGCCUUGCAUGUGCAAGGCCCUGGGUUUGAUCCCCAGUACCA